GAAACGCUGGCGGCACGCUUAAAACAUGCAAGUCGAACGAGAAGCUUUGGUGCUUGCACCGAAGUGGAAAGUGGCGAACGGGUGAGUAACACGUGAGAAACCUGCCUAGAAGACCGGGACAACUAAUGGAAACGUUAGCUAAUACCGGAUACCUUUAUUUUUUCUCCUGAUUUAAUAAAGAAAGCUCCGGCGCUUCUAGAUGGUCUCGCGUCCUAUCCAGCUUGUUGGUGAGGUAAAAGCUCACCAAGGCAACGACGGGUAGCUGGUCUGAGAAGAUGUCCAGCCACAUUGGAACUGAGAUACGGUCCAAACUCCUACGGGAGGCAGCAGUUAGGAAUCUUGCACAAUGGGGGAAAACCCUGAUGCAGCGAUGCCGCGUGCGGGAUGAAGGCCCUAGGGUUGUAAACCGCUUUCAGUUGGGAAGAAAGUGACGGUACCAACAGAAGAAGCCCCGGCCAACUAUGUG
This 466-nucleotide ribosomal RNA is filed under the name uncultured bacterium. RNAcentral's name for it is "bacterial SSU rRNA". It matches the Rfam family "Bacterial small subunit ribosomal RNA", at positions 32 to 507 of the family's 1533-position model. The record is from RNAcentral.